CAAGAACCUCUUCUGUACCACUUAUAUCCUUUCUCUGACCAGCUAUCACCCACCAUGCAACCACUGACAUCACUGCUGAAGCCAACCAACACUUCUCAGGUGGACAGUCAGAGGACAGCCAGAAGUGAAUCACUACGAGAAAACAGAUAA
RNAcentral lists this long non-coding RNA (150 nucleotides) under Gopherus agassizii (Agassiz's desert tortoise). Its description in RNAcentral is "lncRNA (ENSGAGG00000015933.1)". Lineage: Eukaryota; Metazoa; Chordata; Testudines; Testudinidae. The record is from RNAcentral.